GCUAGGAUGAACGCUGGCGGCGUGCCUAAUACAUGCAAGUGAAACGGGUAUCUUCGGAUACCAGUCGCGGACGGGUGAGUAAUACAUAGGCAACCUGCCUUUAGUGAGGGGGAUAACCGAGGGAAACUUUGGCUAAUACCGCAUGAAGACUCUAAGGCAUCUUAGAGGGAUAAAAGUUGGGAAACAACGCAUGAAGAUGGGCUUAUGGCGCAUUAGCUAGUUGGUGAGAUAGAAGCCCACCAAGGUAAUGAUGCGUAGCCGACCUGAGAGGGUGAACGGCCACAUUGGGACUGAGACACGGCCCAAACUCCUACGGGAGGCAGCAGUAGGGAAUUUUCGGCAAUGGGGGGAACCCUGACCGAGCAACGCCGCGUGAAGGAAGAAGGUUUUCGGAUUGUAAACUUCUGUUAUAAGGGAAGAACGGAUUGGAUAGGGAAUGAUCUGAUAGUGACGGUACCUUAUUAGAAAGCCACGGCUAACUACGUGCCAGCCGCCGC
RNAcentral lists this ribosomal RNA (497 nucleotides) under uncultured bacterium. RNAcentral describes it as "bacterial SSU rRNA". It matches the Rfam family "Bacterial small subunit ribosomal RNA", at positions 26 to 518 of the family's 1533-position model. The record is from RNAcentral.